GGAGGGCGGAAGAGGGCGGGGGGAAGCGGGAUUUGAAGCCAGGUCUGGGAAGGAAUGCCGAAGGCAACGGUCUUCCAAAGUCUCUGCUUCCCUGGCACUUCCCAAAAUCAGGCAUUGAGGCGAAGCUCAGAACCGACCAUAGCUGUCAGUAAAAGUAACUGUCACGGGCGGCACCUAGCGUGGCUCGGGACUUUUGCGUGGCCCGUCGCGUCGCGAGCUCUAGCUCCUCUUCCCUCGCGAGAGGCCAUCGGGACGGGUAUCGUUCCCGUUCUGCAGGUAAGAAAAGAACCAAGGAGCAGAGAAGCCCACAAGACCAGAGUUCAGAAGUGGAGGGAAUCCCGGAAGCCACCUAGCACCGUCUCCUUGUUCACGAGAUCAUCCUGCCACUGUGGUCUUCGUUAUACCCCCAUUAUAUAGAUGAGGCAAGGAGGCGAAUACAGAGGUCCCAAAAUCUUAUCAACUCUGAGAGAAACUGCUGACAACAGUUGGUGAAGUUGUAAAGGACAUACAGGCUUGCUUAUAUAAGGUUAUAUGACUCACCAAGGAUCACCCAGUUUAGUGAGUUUCUGAGGCAAAAGUAGGGGCAGUGAAUAAAAUGGAUUUAGACUCUAUGCCAGGAAGAACUUUCUGACUAUUAGAAGUAUAUCUAAAUGGUAUAAGAUGCAUCACCAGAGUUGAUCUUUACCUUGUUUUUGGAAGAAGUUCCUAACUCUUCACCAACCUUUUGAUGCAAUGAAAACAGCUAAUUAAUCAAUAAACUUCUAAACCCAACAUUCAAAAUCUUCAACAAUUAGUCU
Long non-coding RNA from Antechinus flavipes (yellow-footed antechinus), 797 nucleotides. RefSeq lists it as uncharacterized. The record is from RefSeq and is a predicted model, not a curated record. The transcript has 5 exons. Lineage: Eukaryota; Metazoa; Chordata; Mammalia; Dasyuromorphia; Dasyuridae.